CGUCAAGAGUCUUGGCACCGUUUUGGUGAGCGAAUUUCUUUUGCCUUUGUAAAGGUGGAAGAA
This 63-nucleotide small RNA is filed under the name Agrobacterium tomkonis CFBP 6623. Its description in RNAcentral is "Agrobacterium genomosp. 3 str. CFBP 6623 S-element". It matches the Rfam family "S-element". Rfam says of the family: This family represents a group of S-elements from p42d and related plasmids. Lineage: Bacteria; Pseudomonadati; Pseudomonadota; Alphaproteobacteria; Hyphomicrobiales; Rhizobiaceae. RNAcentral also lists the same sequence under 1 other name. The record is from RNAcentral.